UACGUAGGUGGCAAGCGUUGUCCGGAUUUACUGGGCGUAAAGCGUAUGCAGGCGGACCGUUAAGUAGGAAGUGAAAGGUUGGAGCUCAACUCUAACACUGCUCCCUAUACUGGCGGUCUUGAGUGGCGGAGAGGAAGACGGAACGACACGUGUAGCGGUGAAAUGCGUUGAUAUGUGUCGGAACACCAAUGGCGAAAGCAGUCUUCUGGACGCAAACUGACGCUGAGAUACGAAAGCCAAGGUAGCAAACAGG
RNAcentral lists this ribosomal RNA (253 nucleotides) under uncultured bacterium. RNAcentral describes it as "partial 16S ribosomal RNA". It matches the Rfam family "Bacterial small subunit ribosomal RNA", at positions 524 to 776 of the family's 1533-position model. The record is from RNAcentral.